CCGUCCUUUUUUUUUUUUUUUUUUAAAGACAGUCCCAUUUUCAUCUAUGGGAUCAGUUGAACGUCCCUUUUCUGCCACUUACCAGUAGUCACUGGUUCUUGUUCACGUCAGUAACCCUCGGUUAGCAUCGGUUUCCAAAUCUGCAAAAUUGGCAACAAAUUAUACUUCUUCUGCCUACCUCAGGAGGCCACUGAGAUGAUCAAAGCCUUGUGGGAAAGGCUUUGAAUAUUUAAAGUGAGCCGACAGCAUCACCCUAGAACAAGGUGCUUAUGUAUCAGGACAUUGUCUGGUCUUCACACAUCUUCUUUAGAUCGGAACAUUGACCUUCACAGCACGUUGUCAAACUGCUGUCCUGGCCGUCUGCUGGAAGACAAGCUGACUGUCAGCCGGGAGAGCAGUGCACAAGAAGAGCAUCAUUAUCUUAAAACCUCAAGAGGGGACAAUUUUAGCCAGCAAACAGGAAGCAGGAAGAACUUUCCCUCAUCCUGCGCCUCUGGUACAUGCUGAACUCUGCCUCCCCGACAGAUGCCUCAGACACCAGAGCAGCAGAAGAAGGAGCAGGGAGUUGCAGGCUACAUUCCUAAGAUGACUUCAGUCCCCCUUAAAGUACCUGCCUGAGGAAAAUGCAAGACUGCUGAAAGAAUUUGCCAUUUGUUCCAGCCAACACCUGAAGACAGGGGCCCGUCUCCCCAUCACUGUGGGAGAGGAGGGACCUAAUGGCAUAAAUACCAGUUGGCAAACCCAGAUGGGUUUCACAUGGACCAACUUCCCUUCCUUGCGUUUUGAAAUGUUUCACUCCUCUGACUUUACUGAGCCCAUCUCCCUUCACCCCUCCCUUCCCAUUCUCCCGUUAA
This is a long non-coding RNA of Herpailurus yagouaroundi (jaguarundi), 854 nucleotides long. RefSeq lists it as uncharacterized. NCBI's taxonomy places the organism in Eukaryota, Metazoa, Chordata, Mammalia, Carnivora, Felidae. The transcript is spliced from 3 exons. The record is from RefSeq and is a predicted model, not a curated record.